RNAcentral lists this ribosomal RNA (492 nucleotides) under uncultured bacterium. RNAcentral's name for it is "partial 16S ribosomal RNA". It matches the Rfam family "Bacterial small subunit ribosomal RNA", at positions 29 to 507 of the family's 1533-position model. The record is from RNAcentral.
AGUGAACGCUGGCGGUAGGCCUAACACAUGCAAGUCGAACGGCAGCACAGUAAGAUCUUGCUCUUACGGGUGGCGAGUGGCGGACGGGUGACGCAUGCAUCGCAAUCUACUUUUUCGUGGGUGAUAACGUAGGGCAACUGACGCUAAUACCGCAUAUGACCUACGGGUGAGAGCAGGAGAUCUUCGCGCCUUUCCCGACUGAAUGAGCCGAUGUCGGAUUAGCUAGUUGGCUGGGUAAAGGCCCACCAAGGCGACGAUCCGUAGCUGGUCUGAGAGGAUGAUCAGCCACACUGGAACUGAGACACGGUCCAGACUCCUACGGGAGGCAGCAGUGGGGAAUAUUGGACAAUGGGCGCAAGCCUGAUCCAGCCAUACCGCGUGGGUGAAGAAGGCCUUCGGGUUGUAAAGCCCUUUUGUUGGGAAAGAAAAGCAGCAGGUUAAUACCCCGCUGUUCUGACGGUACCCAAAGAAUAAGCACCGGCUAACUUCGUG